Molecule: ribosomal RNA, 395 nt
Filed under: uncultured bacterium
Lineage: Bacteria
Description: partial 16S ribosomal RNA
Rfam family: Bacterial small subunit ribosomal RNA
Source: RNAcentral
AUACAGAGGGUGCAAGCGUUAAUCGGAAUUACUGGGCGUAAAGCGUGCGCAGGCGGUUUUGUAAGACAGAGGUGAAAUCCCCGGGCUCAACCUGGGAACUGCCUUUGUGACUGCAAGGCUAGAGUACGGCAGAGGGGGAUGGAAUUCCGCGUGUAGCAGUGAAAUGCGUAGAUAUGCGGAGGAACAACGAUGGCGAAGGCAAUCCCCUGGGCCUGUACUGACGCUCAUGCACGAAAGCGUGGGGAGCAAACAGGAUUAGAUACCCUGGUAGUCCACGCCCUAAACGAUGUCAACUGGUUGUUGGGUCUUCAUUGACUCAGUAACGAAGCUAACGCGUGAAGUUGACCGCCUGGGGAGUACGGCCGCAAGGUUGAAACUCAAAUGAAUUGACGGGG